RNAcentral lists this transfer RNA (63 nucleotides) under Acidobacteriota bacterium. RNAcentral describes it as "Acidobacteria bacterium (sediment metagenome) tRNA-Pro". It matches the Rfam family "tRNA", at positions 3 to 62 of the family's 71-position model. From Rfam's summary of the family: Transfer RNA (tRNA) molecules are approximately 80 nucleotides in length. The record is from RNAcentral. Lineage: Bacteria; Pseudomonadati; Acidobacteriota.
GGGCGUAGCUCAGCUUGGUAGAGCGCACGGUUCGGGACCGUGAGGUCGGAGGUUCAAAUCCUC